UUUUGAAUAGCUUUCUUAUCUGAAAUUCUGUGCUUAUCUCUUUAAGGUGAUUCGGGAUGUGAUAAAUGUGCACAUGGAAGAACUCAGUAAUAAUUGGCAAGAAGAGCAGGAAAAAGCAGAGGAUGAUGCUGAAAAGAGAGAAGAAAGGCGAUCAGCUUCAGUAGGUUCCCGGCAGUCUGGUGGAAGCUAUUUGGAUGCUGAGUGUUCGCGGCAUAGAAGGGAUUGGAGUCGGAGCCCACAUAAACGAAAAAGAAAUAAAGAUAAAGAUAAAAAUUGGGACUCAAGGAGGAGGAAAGAGAGAGAUGGGGAAAUAUAUCAUAGUCAUAAAAGAAGAAAGCAAAAAGUAUAAAUGAAGUAUUCAUGCAUGUGUUAAUUAUGCUGAUGCCAAGAUAACCAAUGUGCUGAUGUUUUCAUUGUAAUUGCUUUGAAUAGGGGAAAAUGUUUAUAUGACCUGUUUAGUGCUCAGGUCACUAUUUUUCAGUAAGUGCUUAUGUCUCAAACCAUGAGUACACUGUUAUGCCCUAUAACUUUGUUUUCCAUAUAUUUUAAUAGAUGACUGCUUCUUGUUACUAAUUUUGUUUUUUUUUCUUUUUUGAUUAUUUAUGUAUCAGAAAAUUCUUCAAAUCAGUACUUAAAUUAUAAAAAUAAUACAUGAAUGCAUUCUCAUUGUAAAACGUUGAACCUUUCAGAAUACCAUCUCCCAUUCCUAUGGCCACCCAGUGGUAACUGCUAUUUAACACUACACUGGUGAGCUGUAAUAGAGAAAAGCAACCUAAAUAUCUGUCAGGAGGGGAAAGGUCUGGCUAAAUAAAAUGCACUAUAGUCAUAUAAUAGAUUAUUUAUAUCAGAUUUUAAAAAUAAACUUUAUUUAUAUGAAUAUGGAUACAUUUCAGAAACAUAAUGUUAAGUGACAACAGCAAAUUGCUGAAAGAUGUAUACAGUACUGUACAUUUUCAGUGGCUAUAUAUGUAUGUAAAUAUAUUCUUAAAGGUUCAGAAGAACCCAUAUCACACUGCCAGGAGUGAUGAUUUGGGGGAGACCGUAUAAAUGGGAGAGAUAAUGGGUGGCAGUGAAGAUUGGGAGGGUGGUCAACAGAAACAUUAGCUUUAUC
Long non-coding RNA from Myotis daubentonii (Daubenton's bat), 1111 nucleotides. RefSeq lists it as uncharacterized. The record is from RefSeq and is a predicted model, not a curated record. NCBI's taxonomy places the organism in Eukaryota, Metazoa, Chordata, Mammalia, Chiroptera, Vespertilionidae.